AAACUUAAAGGAAUUGACGGGGAGCACCACAACGGGUGGAGCUUGCGGUUUAAUUGGAUUCAACGCCGAAAUCUUACCGGGACCGACAGCAACAUGAAGGCCAGGCUGAAGACUUUGCCGGAUUAGCUGAGAGGUGGUGCAUGGCCGUCGUCAGUUCGUACUGUGAAGCAUCCUGUUAAGUCAGGCAACGAGCGAGACCCACGCCCACAGUUGCCAGCGUACUCUCUGGAGUGACGGGUACACUGUGGGGACCGCCGCUGCUAAAGCGGAGGAAGGAAUGGGCAACGGUAGGUCAGUAUGCCCCGAAUAUCCCGGGCUACACGCGAGCUACAAUGGUUGGUACAAUGGGUAUCUACCCCGAAAGGGGACGGGAAUCUCCUAAAACCAAUCUUAGUUCGGAUUGAGGGCUGCAACUCGCCCUCAUGAAGCUGGAAUCCGUAGUAAUCGCGUUUCAACAGAACGCGGUGAAUACGUCCCUGCUCCUU
RNAcentral lists this ribosomal RNA (485 nucleotides) under uncultured Methanosaeta sp. RNAcentral describes it as "bacterial SSU rRNA". It matches the Rfam family "Archaeal small subunit ribosomal RNA", at positions 852 to 1338 of the family's 1478-position model. The record is from RNAcentral. Lineage: Archaea; Methanobacteriati; Methanobacteriota; Methanomicrobia; Methanotrichales; Methanotrichaceae.